CUAGAAAUCACAAAGUCAAGGAGAGAAAUCUUGAACGCAAGGGUGACCAGCUACUUCAUAAUCUAUAGGCGUACUUCGCGUGUGUUUUACGGACACAUGCUGCAACCGUUACUCAUCAAAGGACCCAAGACUUCAAAAUCGCCAUCAUGAACUUCAAUGUCCUGUGGGUGAUACUCCUCGUGAUGGUGGUAAGCUUCGCUUUCGUCGACGGGCAGAUCUUAAACAUGAACCGUAGAAGGUUCCCUGGCGAGCGGCGUUUCGGGGCCACCCAUUACAAAACACACUCAUACGGCAGCCAUGGUUACCAGAGCUAUUCGAAGGGUUAAGUGUGGUCCUAAACCAACUGAUCUGCGAAGGGCAGGGGUCCUCGUUGCUGCCAACGGGAUUCAUGGCCACUACCAACGCAGCAAGAGGACGCUGUCACGUGAAUUUCCGCUGGCUUCCAAAACUAACACUGAAACGGCAGAUAAUAUAUUUAAACCUUCUUGUUUUUGUUUUGUUGAAGUUGUUUAAAUCUCGGAGAUAAUUUAUGUAUAUGCUAAUGAAAGAAAAAUGUAUUUCUUUUUUUUCAAGAGCAUCUGUUGUUAUUGUCACAGAUAUUUAUUAGAACUAUUUAAUCUCUUUGUUUGGAUAUUUUCACGGUAAUCCUAUGGUGAUUUAUUUUUGUAACGAAUAUAUGAACUUUAUUUUUCUCGCUGUUUACAAGGGAAUGUUUGCGCUAAUAAGCUCUAACAGUGCUAGUUGUUAAGUUUAUUUAACACUUAUGUAACUUAAUCGGAGAGGUAAUAAUUUAUAGUCACUGUUGAAUUUUGGGCCACUAAUUCUAUAUAUAUAUAUAUAUAUAGUAUGUUAGUUCCCAUCAGUUUCCAUCAUCAAGACAGAUGUAUACUGUGAUUUCUCAACUAUCUUUACUCUGUAAAGAUAAAGGAAAUCUAAUGAAAAUCUAAAUAAAUUGUACAAUCAGGCAA
Macrobrachium nipponense is the source of this 968-nucleotide long non-coding RNA. RefSeq lists it as uncharacterized. The record is from RefSeq and is a predicted model, not a curated record. Lineage: Eukaryota; Metazoa; Arthropoda; Malacostraca; Decapoda; Palaemonidae. The transcript has 5 exons.